GACGAACGCUGGCGGCGUGCUUAACACAUGCAAGUCGAACGGAAAGGCCCUGCUUUUGUGGGGUGCUCGAGUGGCGAACGGGUGAGUAACACGUGAGUAACCUGCCCUUGACUUUGGGAUAACUUCAGGAAACUGGGGCUAAUACCGGAUAGGAGCUCCUGCUGCAUGGUGGGGGUUGGAAAGUAGCGGCGGGGGGGGAUGGACUCGCGGCUUAUCAGCUUGGUGGGGGGGUGGUGGCUCACCAAGGCUUUGACGGGUAGCCGGCCUGAGAGGGGGAACGGACACAGGGGGAGAGAGAUACGGCACACACUCCUACGGGAGGGCGGAGUGGGGAAUAGUGGACAGGGGGGGCGACUCUGAUCCAGCCAUUCUGUGUGCAAGAAGGAGGUUUUCGGAUUGUAAAGUGCUUUCAGCAGAGAAGGAGAAAGUGACGGUACCGGCAGAAGAAGCGACGGCUAAAUACGUG
RNAcentral lists this ribosomal RNA (466 nucleotides) under uncultured bacterium. Its description in RNAcentral is "partial 16S ribosomal RNA". It matches the Rfam family "Bacterial small subunit ribosomal RNA", at positions 28 to 507 of the family's 1533-position model. The record is from RNAcentral.